AUUGUAGCCAAUGUUCUAUAUUCAGCUGUAAUCUAAACAUACCCAUAUGAAUUCCAACUGAAAGCAGGAAAAUGUCUUCGAAGUAUCCUCUAUUUCCAAUGCAUUGCCAAAUUCUCUCUUCUAAUUUUUCAUUUCAUAAAGUAUACAGAGCUAACCAUCCUUGGAUUCUCAAUCAACAUGAAAUAGCUAACCACUUGAAACUGGGCUUGGAAAAGCUCAUUUGCAUUCGUGCAGCAAGGCUGGAGAAUAAACCAAGCAAAUGCGUCUAUUUGUGUACUUCAAUAUAUGACUGUGCUUGCUUCAAUCAAGACUUAUUUUCAGUAUCAUGGCCAACAAAAGCAUUAAACGAGUUUUCUCCAACAUGAGUGAUAAGCUGUAGAAUGUAUUUCUUUAAAGGAUUUUUUUUUCUGUGACGCUUAUGGAAUGCAAUAAAAAACAGAAGCAAGAGUGCAAAUCUCACUAGAAAUUCAUAACACUACCUUGCCAUUUGACUCUUUCUCCUUGUUUCCUGACAUGUUAAGUACCUUCAUUAUAGUUUAGGUUGUACCUGAUUAUAAGUUUAAAAGAUUACAGAUAUUUCAAAAGGAAUUAUUUUAAAAAAUCAGUAUUUCACAUUGAACUUUACUGAUUUUAUUCUCAACCUAAGAUUGUCAUUUCACAUACUGAUCUCUUCUGGGAGUUGAUGCUGGUAUUGCCUUCUAAGAGUGAAAAACAUCUAAAGCCUAUUUUUUCAGGCAUUACUAUUGUUUCAACAUAAUCUCUUCUGGGUAUUUUUUUUUUCAAAUUCUUCCCCCAUGAAAAUACUUGGUGCAGUUUCAUUUAAAUUAUUUCUUCCUUAACUAUUCCCUGCCAGAGACCAAACAUUUGGCUGAACCCAAUUAUUUUUCUGACUAUAAACCCAUAUGGUUUUCAUCUAUAAAAUGGAAAGCUGUACCUGUAUGUGAGAGAAAGAAAGAGGGUUUAGGGGAGGAGGACAGGGGAAGAUAAGGGAAGCGAAGAGGAGACAGGGAGACAGAGGGAAAGAUCUGUGUGUUACUGGAAAGUGAAAGAAAAGAAAAUCAUGUUCCUUGUGUUCCUCAU
This 1080-nucleotide long non-coding RNA is filed under the name Canis lupus familiaris (dog). RNAcentral's name for it is "lncRNA (ENSCAFG00040004802.1)". The record is from RNAcentral. Lineage: Eukaryota; Metazoa; Chordata; Mammalia; Carnivora; Canidae.